CGUUGACCUCGGAUCAGGUAGGGAUACCCCGUUGAACUUAAACAUAUCAAUAACGGGGGGAACCC
Molecule: ribosomal RNA, 65 nt
Filed under: Teratosphaeria nubilosa
Lineage: Eukaryota; Fungi; Ascomycota; Dothideomycetes; Mycosphaerellales; Teratosphaeriaceae
Description: partial 28S ribosomal RNA
Source: RNAcentral